Molecule: ribosomal RNA, 463 nt
Filed under: uncultured bacterium
Lineage: Bacteria
Description: partial 16S ribosomal RNA
Rfam family: Bacterial small subunit ribosomal RNA
Source: RNAcentral
CUACGGGGGGCUGCAGUGGGGAAUUUUGGACAAUGGGCGCAAGCCUGAUCCAGCCAUUCCGCGUGAGUGAAGAAGGCCUUCGGGUUGUAAAGCUCUUUCGCAAGGGAAGAAAACUUAUCCUCUAACAUAGGGUGAGGUUGACGGUACCUUGAUAAGAAGCACCGGCUAACUACGUGCCAGCAGCCGCGGUAAUACGUAGGGUGCGAGCGUUAAUCGGAAUUACUGGGCGUAAAGCGUGCGCAGGCUGUUUUGUAAGUCAGAUGUGAAAUCCCCGAGCUCAACUUGGGAACUGCGUUUGAACUAGAAGACUAGAGUAUGUCAGAGGGGGGUAGAAUUCCAUGUGUAGCAGUGAAAUGCGUAGAGAUGUGGAGGAAUACCAAUGGCGAAGGCAGCCCCCUGGGAUAAUAUUGACGCUCAUGCACGAAAGCGUGGGGAGCAAACAGGAUUAGAUACCCGCGUAGUC